GGUGCAGAAGCGAAGUGGUCGAGCGGCAAGUCUUUCAAGCUUGUAAUUAGCGGGUUCGAGUCCCGUCUGCACUACCA
RNAcentral lists this transfer RNA (77 nucleotides) under Tolypothrix sp. PCC 7910. Its description in RNAcentral is "tRNA-Glu". It matches the Rfam family "tRNA". Rfam says of the family: Transfer RNA (tRNA) molecules are approximately 80 nucleotides in length. The record is from RNAcentral. RNAcentral also lists the same sequence under 1 other name. Lineage: Bacteria; Bacillati; Cyanobacteriota; Cyanophyceae; Nostocales; Tolypothrichaceae.